This 439-nucleotide ribosomal RNA is filed under the name uncultured bacterium. RNAcentral's name for it is "partial 16S ribosomal RNA". It matches the Rfam family "Bacterial small subunit ribosomal RNA", at positions 339 to 795 of the family's 1533-position model. The record is from RNAcentral.
CUACGGGGGGCAGCAGUGAGGAAUAUUGCACAAUGGGGGGAACCCUAAUGCAGCAACGCCGCGUGGAGGAUGACGCAUUUCGGUGUGUAAACUCCUUUUAUAUGUCAAGAAAAUGACGGUAGCAUAUGAAUAAGCACCGACUAACUCCGUGCCAGCAGCCGCGGUAAUACGGAGGGUGCAAGCGUUACUCGGAAUCACUGGGCGUAAAGGACGCGUAGGCGGGUUGGAAAGUCAGGUGUGAAAUCCUACAGCUUAACUGUAGAACUGCACUUGAAACUUCUAAUCUAGAGUAUGGGAGGGGGAGAUGGAAUUAGUGGUGUAGGGGUAAAAUCCGUAGAUAUCACUAGGAAUACCUAAAGCGAAGGCGAUCUCCUGGAACAUUACUGACGCUAAGGCGUGAAAGCGUGGGGAGCAAACAGGAUUAGAUACCCCAGUAGUC